GCGAGAGUGGCGAAACGGCAGACGCGCUGGGUUUAGGUCCCAGUGGGGUUCACCCCCCGUGAGGGUUCGAGUCCCUCCUCUCGCA
This 85-nucleotide transfer RNA is filed under the name Planctomycetota bacterium. Its description in RNAcentral is "tRNA-Leu". It matches the Rfam family "tRNA". From Rfam's summary of the family: Transfer RNA (tRNA) molecules are approximately 80 nucleotides in length. Their secondary structure includes four short double-helical elements and three loops (D, anti-codon, and T loops). Further hydrogen bonds mediate the characteristic L-shaped molecular structure. tRNAs have two regions of fundamental functional importance: the anti-codon, which is responsible for specific mRNA codon recognition, and the 3' end, to which the tRNAs corresponding amino acid is attached (by aminoacyl-tRNA synthetases). tRNAs cope with the degeneracy of the genetic code in two manners: having more than one tRNA (with a specific anti-codon) for a particular amino acid; and 'wobble' base-pairing, i.e. permitting non-standard base-pairing at the 3rd anti-codon position. The record is from RNAcentral. Lineage: Bacteria; Pseudomonadati; Planctomycetota.